This 552-nucleotide ribosomal RNA is filed under the name uncultured Glomeromycotina. Its description in RNAcentral is "SSU rRNA". It matches the Rfam family "Eukaryotic small subunit ribosomal RNA", at positions 548 to 1098 of the family's 1831-position model. Lineage: Eukaryota; Fungi; Glomeromycota. The record is from RNAcentral.
UUGGAGGGCAAGUCUGGUGCCAGCAGCCGCGUGUAAUUCCAGCUCCAAUAGCGUAUAUUAAAGUUGUUGCAGUUAAAAAGCUCGUAGUUGAAUUUCGGAGUUUGUCGGUUGGUCGGGCUUCAUUGUCCGCACUGGCCUGAUGGAUUCCUACCUUCUGAAUAACCAGCAUGCUAUUAAGUUAGUGCGUUGGGGAAGCAGAGCUAUUACCUUGAAAAAAUUAGAGUGCUUAAAGCAGGCUUAUGCUUGAAUAGAUUAGCAUGGAAUAAUAAAAUAGGACGGCAUGGUUCUAUUUUGUUGGUUUCUAGGAUCACCGUAAUGAUUAAUAGGGAUAGUUGGGGGCAUUAGUAUUCAAUUGUCAGAGGUGAAAUUUUUGGAUUUAUUGAAGACUAACUUCUGCGAAAGCAUUUGCCAAGGAUGUUUUCAUUAAUCAAGAACGAAAGUUAGGGGAUCGAAGACGAUCAGAUACCGUCGUAGUCUUAACCAUAAACUAUGCCGACUAGGGAUCGGACGAUGUUAAUUUUUUAAUGACUCGUUCGGCGCCUUACGGGAAAC